This 251-nucleotide ribosomal RNA is filed under the name uncultured prokaryote. RNAcentral's name for it is "partial 16S rRNA". It matches the Rfam family "Bacterial small subunit ribosomal RNA", at positions 525 to 775 of the family's 1533-position model. The record is from RNAcentral.
ACGGAGGGUGCAAGCGUUAAUCGGAAUUACUGGGCGUAAAGCGUACGCAGGCGGUUGGAUAAGUUAGAUGUGAAAACCCCGGGCUCAACCUGGGAAUUGGAUUUAAAACAAGACAGACAGAGACAUGUAGAGGGGGGUAUAAUACCCGGUGUAGCGGUGAAAUGCGUAGAGAUCUGGAGGAACACAGGUGGCGAAGGCGCCCCCCUGGACAAAGACUGACUCUCAGGUGCGAAAGCGUGGGUAGCAAACAG